AAGAAAGAAAAGACCAUGGAUCUACUAGUUGCAGAUUUCAGCAGUAAUGCCAAGGGGGCAAGAAGUGACCAGCAGAACAAUUAGGCCAUGGCAACAGAAGCCAACUACAACCCAUGUUCCAAUCUAUGACCUCCCUCUCCUGCUGGUACAAGGAUAUGAAUGUGGCUGUAGCAUCAUUUUUGGAAGCCAGAAUGGUAAUACUGAAAAUCACUGCUUGUCUCAAGAUCCAACUUCUGGAAAUCUCAACCAUUCUGAAUACAGCCAUCAUUCUUAAAAUUGAAGAGAACUGUUUUACAAGAUCUUGACUUGUAAAGAAACCAAGUUUAUUAAGAUCUGGAGUCUGGGAAGUUCAAGAGCAUGGCACCAACAUCUGGCAAGGGCUUUCAUUCUGCAUCAUCUCAUGGAGGAAAAUAAAAAGGAGGCUGGAUGCUCCUGUGAAGUACGUCUUUUAUCUACUUGCUAUCUUUGCAAUUCCUUCAUGCUACAAUGAGAGAUAGAGUUUAAACCUGAAAACAUUCUUGGAAAAGGAAUCUUCAUUAAUUCAAAUAUACCACAAGAUUCACCACCAUCACUACUCUAAGUAUUUUUCUUCUUGAGAAAGAGAAGGAGAGGGAAAGCAAGGAAGAGGAAGAGAAAGAGAAAUGGAUAAAAACAUGGUCAAGUAGAAGAGUCUGUGAUUUCAGGUAAAUCCAGAUUUGGAGCUUAAAUGACUCAAAUGCUUUGCCUACAUUGAUCCUACAUUCAGGCUGCUUACAUAUCUCUUGGCUUCUCUGAGAACCAGAUUGUCACCACUUAAAGUGUCUUCCAGAGUCCUCACGAGUAUCAGAGAAGGCAUAAUCUGUACACGUGGCUUCAUUUAAAAUGAAAAUAUCAAGCAGUGUCAUUUUCACAAGUAUCCCCACACUGUCUGAGGCUGAAAAGAAGAGUGUAGCUAUGCACACUGCAGUGAGAAGAAAAUUUCAGCUCAAUUGGAGGAUGUAAAGAUUGAAAUACCACUGCUCCUAGUUCUGAUGCAAAAUUGAAAAGAGUGCACUGGGUCUUCAAAUGGCAUAUUGACAAGGAGAAAGAGGAAAGGAUGCCCCAGGACAGCCUGGGGGUCAAGGCUGGGCUCAGGCAUGCCUGGACAAGCCAUGCAAGUUGUCUCCGGACUUGAACCACGUAUCAGAGGAGCUAUUUGAGGAGCCACAUCAGCAUACCUGCUUCUGUGGGCCCCCAGGCUGUGGUGCUCAGCCCUUGCACUAUGAAACAUUUUUUUUUUCCAGAAGCCAAAGCUUUGAGCAUCUCCUCCCAUGUAGAGAGUGUAUAUGUUUACGUCCAUGUCUUUCGCCAUGUGAACGCAUGCAACCACCACCUCAAAUAUCAUAAAUCCUCUCUCUCCCCCUUUCUGUCUGCCUGUUUAUCUACAAUCUGUCUAUUUAAAUUCUUUUUAAACAAGAAGGGAAUAUCUUUAUGCCUGUUUGUAGGGAUAUUCUACAUCCAUCUGUUAUUUACAUCAUUCGUUUUCCUGAGGUGUCUCCAACAAAUCCUGGCUGGAUGCACUGUAUGUGUUAUUAAUAAAACAGCUGUAAAAAUA
Long non-coding RNA from Homo sapiens (human), 1573 nucleotides. Ensembl annotates it as long intergenic non-protein coding RNA 1539. The record is from Ensembl. NCBI's taxonomy places the organism in Eukaryota, Metazoa, Chordata, Mammalia, Primates, Hominidae.